AUUGAACGCUGGCUGCAGGCCUAACACAGGGAAGCCAAACCGAUGAAGGGAUCUUGCUCUUUGGUUCAGCUGCGGACUGGUCAGUAAUGCCUAGGAAUGUCCCUGGUACCUAGCGAUAACUUCUCGGAACGGGCUCUAAUCCCGCAUACGUCCUGAUGCAGAAAGUGUGUGGUCUUCGCACCUCUCGCUGUCAGAUGAGCCGAGGUCGGAUUACCUAGUUGGGGGGGUAAAGGCCUACCAAGGCGACGAUCCGUAACUGGUCUGAGAGGAUGAUCAGUCACACUGGAACUGAGACACGGUCCAGACUCCUACGGGAGGCAGCAGUGGGGAAUAUUGGACAAUGGGCGAAAGCCUGAUCCAGCCAUGCCGCGUGUGUGAAGAAGGUCUUCGGAUUGUAAAGCACUUUAAGUUGGGAGGAAGGGCAGUAAGUUAAUACCUUGCUGUUUUGACGUCACCAACAGAAUAAGCACCGGCGAACUUCGUG
Molecule: ribosomal RNA, 484 nt
Filed under: uncultured bacterium
Lineage: Bacteria
Description: partial 16S ribosomal RNA
Rfam family: Bacterial small subunit ribosomal RNA
Source: RNAcentral